UACGUAGGGACCAAGCGUUGUUCGGAUUUAAUGGGCGUAAAGGGCGCGUAGGCGGCUUAACAAGUCACUUGUGAAAUCUCCGGGCUUAACUCGGAACGGCCAAGUGAAACUGUCAAGCUAGAGUGCAGAAGGGGCAAUCGGAAUUCUUGGUGUAGCGGUGAAAUGUGUAGAUAUCAAGAGGAACACCUGAGGUGAAGACGGGUUGCUGGGCUGACACUGACGCUGAGGCGCGAAAGCCAGGGGAGCAAACGGG
Molecule: ribosomal RNA, 253 nt
Filed under: uncultured bacterium
Lineage: Bacteria
Description: partial 16S ribosomal RNA
Rfam family: Bacterial small subunit ribosomal RNA
Source: RNAcentral